CGGGGCGGGUGAGUAAUGUCUGGGAAACUGCCCGAUGGAGGGGGAUAACUACUGGAAACGGUAGCUAAUACCGCAUAACGUCGCAAGACCAAAGAGGGGGACCUUCGGGCCUCUUGCCAUCGGAUGUGCCCAGAUGGGAUUAGCUAGUAGGUGGGGUAACGGCUCACCUAGGCGACGAUCCCUAGCUGGUCUGAGAGGAUGAUCAGCCACACUGGGACUGAGACACGGCCCAG
Molecule: ribosomal RNA, 233 nt
Filed under: uncultured bacterium
Lineage: Bacteria
Description: partial 16S ribosomal RNA
Rfam family: Bacterial small subunit ribosomal RNA
Source: RNAcentral